UCGUGUAAACGGAUAAUGGACAUGG
This 25-nucleotide non-coding RNA is filed under the name Cricetulus griseus (Chinese hamster). Lineage: Eukaryota; Metazoa; Chordata; Mammalia; Rodentia; Cricetidae. The record is from RNAcentral.